CGGCUCCGGGCCACGUUAUUAAUUUACUUGCAAGUUCCAACGCACAGAGCUGUUAUCAAUUAUUUUAUUAAUUGUUACGGCGUAGACGGUCGCUGUACCGAACUUGGGCCGACAUUUUUGCGGCCAAAAAACGGAUAGUAAAAAGUGCAGUCGAAAGUGAAACACAUGUGUACACAGUUGAAAUAUUAUUACGGCCGAGAGCACCGUUGCGCACGACGUCUCAUCGUAUUGAACGGUAGCGGUACGGCACGUAGUAUUGUUUGGGGUCGAGCAGCCGUCUUACGUAACACACCUAGGACGGCAAUAACGAGUUAAUUCCCUCUAAACAACAACACUGCUCUGUUCGCUUUUGUCUGUGCGACUCGAGUACAAAACAACGUAACAAACCAAAAGGAGCCGUGACGCAACGGCCGGUGACGAGCGUUUUUAAACAACGACACUCUGUCAAGCGUUUUUGUGGACGGCCAAUCAUUUGAUCGGCCGUUGUUACCUCGUCGGAACAAUAUCCACGAGAUCUUACGGGCUGGUGAACCAUCGGAACGCGAUCGUGAGCAGUUACGUUUAGAUCACGGGCGCGUAACAAGAGCACACACACUCUUGUUGUUGUACAGACUGCGCGCGUGUGUUUCUUUGUUGGCGCGCGCUUAAUAACAAUUGUCUAGACACGUCUCCUCUACGGAGCACUUGCUGCUCGCCGACGUAAGGAACGUACCCAGCCCGCGCACCGCCAAACAAUCGACUUUCAAGCACGCGGUUGUUUUUUUCUCGCGAUUUCACUUUUGGCUUGAAAAACCGUUUCAUCGCCGUGUUGACCGAUAAAAAACCUACUCGGAGCUCGGCCGCUGUCAUUGAAAACGGCUCAUGCGAUUCCAUUUUAAUACGCUUAUAUUUCUUAUGUGAAUACGCUCGCCACCGACGUUUUUGCCACACGAGAUCUUAUGCGCUUAACGAAUGCUAAACGACAAUCACGCGACUGUCCGCGUCGUCAAAAACCUCAAACGAACCACCGACGACCGUUAAUCGCGUAAAAAAACGUCGAUAAAAAAUCUGGAAACCGUCGUAAGUAAUCGAAACGUCGAUUUCUGUUUUACGGCAGUCACGUGACGCGAUUAAUUUUCAAACAAAUAAAGAUAACGUCGGAGAUAUCAGGCGCCGAUUGUUUCUCAUUACUGUUGCGACGUUCACGUAACGCGUUAAAAAGCGACGAGGGAACGUAAAGAGUACGAUUUUCGUCGAGCAAUUAACCACUGCGGUGUUUGUUGACACGAUGUCAUUGUCAGUUCAGUGUGGUGAUUCGCUACUAAGCGUUUUAGCAAAUUUCGAACGGCAAUAUUGAAGUGUUGAUAUUGGUGGCGUUCAUCUAGAAAAAAAAAAAAACGUUUGUUAUCGCGUUAUUAUUUGUAUAUAACGCACACUUUUUACGGGAGCCGCCGAGACAUUCAGUGGUGGCCAAAGUGUCGGAGCGAUUUACAUUACUGUCAGCGCGCAAUAUAAUCGCGAGUAGUGUUUUCCCACUUGUUGUGACCCGUUUGCCGCAAUCGCGGACAAUCGAUAUCCGAGACGCAUUAAUUUAUUCCAUCGCCACUCCAACGACCAAAUCCGAAUGUAAGAACCGAUAAAAAGUAAAAGAAAAUUUGCUGCUCGCCGUAGGUUUGCAAACAAAAGCAAGUGCGGACGACAACCGCGCGCUACAGUCGGUAGUUUAUGUGGAUUUCAGCGUUUUUUAAGAACGAGGAGGGUCUUUGAACGUAUCGGUCGGACGCUUUGACAGCGCAAUUAAAAUCGAUUUUGCCAAUACGCUCACGGCUACCUAUCGGUAACAACUCGAUCAUUUCACUUGGGCUUUUCGGUUUGGAUACAACUAACCGUUAUCUCGUAAACAAUCAUCCGCCGAGUUUCCCACGCCGGACAUUGUAGUGGGAUUGCUUUUCAUUGGACGGCGACCGGAGAGAGAAACACGACAAACUGCUGAUGAAAUGGAGUUCGCCGGUUUCCACGAAGACCGUUUGGGACGUCAGUGCACUCGAUCGCAUUUGCCCUACUUACGGUCGACCAGCUCGUUUCGGGCCAAGACAAAAAAAUCGUUUCGAUACCGUUCAGGGAUGUCGUGUCUCCCGGAGGAUGCGUUCGUUCAUCUGUAGGUACACGCCAACAGAAAUCGAAAGAGAAAAAAUAUAAUCCAACGGAAACGGCAAUUUGAUUUCGUCCGGCCGUAACGUACGCCGAGCAUUUUUUUUAUUUCGCUUUGGCAACGCUAUUAUUCCGUGGAAAACGUCGACGUUCAAUUAAAACGAAACGUUCUGCUGCGACACACGAUGCACACACAAUUGGCCGAAUCCCAAGGGUAUAAUAUUAUUAUUAUGUAGCAACGGGAGAUUGUCGGCCGAUAACGCGGUAAAAAAAAAAACACAUUUACUGAUUCGACGAGUACGCCGUGUCGCCCGCACGUAAUGUAUUCCAACAACGACAAACGCGCAGGCAGAUGAUCGCCGUAAAAAUAUUACUCGGAUUGUAAUUAAUUUUGAAUCUCCGACGGGCAGCCGAUGCACUCAACACUAACCGGUCGUGAAUCUCGGCGCACGGAAUUUUUUUUGUCGAGUGAAAGCUUAUUUAUAUUAUUUUUUUUUGGCCGCCGCCGGAGUUUGUGCACUUAAAACGGUGUUAGGCGCCGCAUUGCGUUUUCCUGCAAUCAGAAAACGUUGAAAAAUAAUCUAUUGUUUAGCCAUUGAAUAGUAUGUAUAAAACAACGAAUACGCCGGUGCCGAGAAGUUCCUUUUUUUUUUUUAUCGUGUACGCACGCCGUUCGUAGCGGUAAAUCGAUAAUGUAAUUUCUAAUAAUGUUGUACUUGGAAGUCUUCUAUAACUGGUACUGAAAUCAAUCUUUAGCCUCGCGUUCAUAUGUAUACACAUAUUUGUUAUUGAACAAUUAAAUUGCAUCUCCGCGCAAACGCGUUACCGGCGGGUCGGUAGUGUCGGCGCUACACGAGUUUCACUUACAUGAGAUUUCACUUUUGUUGCAACGGAUUUAUGGUAAUUCCGAAUCAAUGUGGAAAAAUAAAAAAUAAGCCAUGUCGAGUUACAAUUCGACGCUUCCUCGUCCGCAUUAGCACAUAGGCUUCCUUUUUCCAACACAACACCGUUAAAAAGAAUGGCAAGUGUCGCGUGUACAAACGCACUAAAGUCGUAGUAAUACGAUUCGACGGGAGCACACACAGAAUAUUCAACAAAAAAAAACAAUUAUGGAAAAUGGCUACUGAAUUCGCCUAAUUUUUAUCCGACAAAACACUGAAACCGCCUUCUCCUGUUGAAUAAUCAGAAAACCGUUUCCUUAUUUAGGGCGCAGUCGAAUUCCAAAUGUAUUUUUUAAACAUUAAUACGAAUGUCGUGUGAACGUACUGGCUGCUAUGCAAAUAUCAAUGUUUAAUUAACUAAUUGUAGACAAGCCCGUUCUUUAAUAGACAAAUUAGAAAUUCGGAUUGGAUUAUAGCAAAUCCAAAAUGUUUUUUGCAUUAAUAUUCACUCAUUAUUUAUAUGUAAAUUAUCAAAUGGAGUCACGUCCACUGGUCACCAACAAAUAAAUAAAUUUAAAAACUCAAUUAUACGGACACACGAUGGAAGCACAGCAUGGAACGUCGUAGUCAGUUGUUGUCACACAGCAAACGGUUAUGACAAUUAUUAUAGUGCUAAAAAAUAUUUUCUGUUGGGUGUCCUUCGGACAAAUUUUAGCAGUGUUUACGCUCAUCGUCACGUAAUCUAGCAGUUUUUAAUUUUAAAACGAGAAAAAUGUUGAGAAACGCCAAAAUGGGAAAUCGCUUUUGGUUUAAGUUAAGUGUUACAAAACUAUUAAACAUAAUGUUACUACUCAGUUUUUACGCUUCAAUACAGAAAUGUACAUUCGAAAUCGUUUAGAAAUAGUAUAGGUAGUUGAUAAUUGUGCCUAAAUCAUCAAAAGCCUUGGGAUUUAUUAAAUAAUAUUAUUGCACUUGUGUUUAGAGGCUAAAACGUUUGUAGUACCGAGUUAAUGGCGGUUAUUUAGCAAUUGGUUAAUGUCCACGCUAACUUAUUAUUAAUUAUCAUUUUAACGCGUUAAUUGAACAUUACACGAUAAUAUAGUGUUUAAAAAUCGCACAUAAAAUACGAUAAAUAUUUCAAUGGGUUUGAUAUAAUUACUGAUAGCCGAUAGCAAAUAAGAGCGACGUGUUUUACCAAAGCAAAAAAUUAUCAAGUAGCUAUUUUGCGCAAAGUGUAACUGAUUGAUUGUGAAAAAAAAAUUUUACGGGUGUCGUCAUCAACAUAGAACUCUGAAAAUAGCGUUUGGCCAAACAAGAUAAUAAUAGUGCUGUGUGUGUUUUCACUACUAGAAUAUACACUAAUGUAAAUUAUCUUUUAUUAUUUAUAUUAAGUCGCUUUUGUUUAAUAAUUAAUAACGAACAAAAGAGGAAAAAUGUACAUUACUAAUAUUCUUAUUGAGUUUCAACAGCGUUGGAAUAAUUUUCACAACCUUAUAAAAUUGUAAUUAUUAAACUAUAAUAGUGUCUCGAUUAUGAUUAUUACAAUUACGUUUAUUAAAAACGUAUUAAUUAAUGUUUUUGUGUGUCGGCGAUAAAAGUGAAAUAAUAGACAACGUUUUUUUCUACGUGUUCAACAACAGCAUAUUUGUUUUUCAAUGAUUAUGUAAAAACAAAAAAAAAAACAUUGUGACAAAGUGUAUCUCGCCGGGAUGCAAUGUGUGUUCGUGAUAAUAUAAUAACAAUUCAUUUUUUUUCUUUCUCGUGUGUUCACAAAGAUAUUAAAAAGCAAAGAAUAAAAAAAAAAAAGAAAACACUAUGACCGGAGAGAGAACAUACACUGCGUUUGUGUACACGUUCUUACACUCUACCCGUGUAAUAACUAUUGUACAUCAGUUAUUCUUAAGUAGCAUUGCACCUGGCCGGCGCUCAUUUUUUUACUUUUUUCCUAACAAUAAUACCUAUAGGAAAUUCGCCUUUGUAAAUACAAAAAAUAAUAGACAUGUGAUCUUAUUUAACUAGCAUUUUUCUAAAUUAUAAUACACUACUGUACAAUAUAAAUUUUAAUUUUCUAUCGUUUUGAGAAUUUUUUUUAGCUUGUUGUCAACCUUAGCGACUACGUCCGUGAAACCGCUGAAAAUGUCAUGAAUUAUCACAAACAUGUCAUAGCAAUCAAUCAUUAUUUAUUCACUUAUUAGAGGAUUUGCAAAAAAAAAAACCAUUCGAAGCUUAUGGAAAACCAAGUCCUCACAACCGCAGAGAAACGCAAAGCAUUGUGAGAUGUAUGCGCGUGGACAAAUUUUAUGUAACGUCUUGUAUUUGUACUGCUGGUGAUUUUUCGAGUGUAAUAAACAAUACAUUGAAAAUAUGAGAAGUGCGCGUGGUUCUAUACAUUUCUUAGUUUGAGUUGAUAUUAACAAAAAACAACCUUAAUCUCUGAUCGCUUGUUUACGCGAAAAAAUCGAGUCCGUUUAAGUGUACAAUGUUACUACAUGACAAGUACUCGUACGCAGAGAACAGUACAAAUGCAUAGGACGCGCAUAAUAAUAAUGUUAUGAGCAAAAUAGUGAAAGUAAAAAAAUGAAGAAUAAAAGAGGCCAAAUUAAUUUUAAGAAAAAAACGUGUGGAACGGAUAAUAAACUAAAAUGAAAUGUCGAUGCGUAAAAUACUACGAGUAGCGGUAAUAUGUUAUUGUGAACACUUUAUUACACAGUAUUUAUUAUUUUUACACGUCUAUUACUACACUCUGGUCGAUUGCUAUCACAUGACUAAUGCUUAUUGUUGUUAUGGAAGUAACAAUAUAAACUAAUAAUUCAUAGCAUUGUUUUCUGUUGAGCUUAAGAAGUCAUUUGUAUUUCAAAGCGAGCCGUCUGGCCAUUCGAAAAAAUCAUGUUUUCUUUAGCUCUCGAGUGUAAUAUCAAAACACAAAGUUCAGUAACCACAUUAUCAACGGGCAUGUGAAAUAUGAUACCAAAAUAAUGAUAAACAGAACGUGUGGUGAAGACGUUUGCCAAAUACUGUUAUGAGAAUAUUUUAAUAAAUAUCAACGUUCUUGAAACCUUUGAAAGCUUUAAAAAAAAGCUGCCGUCUUUGUGUUUUGAGGGCUGAAUGCCAAAAUCAAAGGCUUUUCUUCCAUUUCCGAACAUUGUGCAAACUAACAGUUAGCUGGUAACACCAUCUGCCCGUUUAGUAGGUCUACGAAAAAAGAAACAAUUUUAUUCAAUAAAAAUCCAGCGGACUGCCUAAAAUUAGAGUUGUCUAGCAACACAUAGUUAUGUUUAUUUUUUUUUAUAUACGAGCACAGAUAAUCACGAUGGAAUAUUGUGUGAAGUAAAAAAAUAUAUAAUAUGUAUUAUAUGGUUAGUUUUAUUGCUGUUAAAAUCGCUUUGCCUAUCGUUUUACGUUCUGAUAAUGUUGUCAUGGUCGAAAUUACAACUAGGAAAUUUUGGAAAAUAGUCAUCAGUGCUCUCCUGUCCUAACCUGUUUAUUUAUAUUAUUCAUGAUAAUAAACUUAAUUGACAAUAAAUGACUGCCGCAGUACUGCAGUAUAUUUAUGGUGACGCUUUUGUGGGCUGAUUUCACAGGAUCUCAUCGAGUGCAUUUCAGGAAGGUCGUUCGACCACACCCCUGUUGAUGCCACUGCUGUUAUCUGUAUCAACGAAGGCCUAGUGUGCACUUUUAAAAUAAUUAGCAAACGCUUUUGCCGUACUCGUGGUCGUCGAAUUGAAAUAAAAAAAAAAAAAACAUAAGCGUUGUUUCUGAUGUCGAAAACAAUCAUUUGACAAGUGAAAUAUUGUGGUUAAUGCUCAUUAGAAACGACGAUAUCAUCAGACCGAGCUUUUAUUUGAUAACGAAUAUUAAAAAUCAUUUCAUUUGAAACACUACAACAUUUUUUGCGGUUUAAUGGCAAAAACGCGUGUGCUUUUCACAGUGAUAUUUCGUGUUAUACCCUCGUUAUGUUCAAAACACACACACACACAUUGCCAUGAAAUUUAGAAUGAUGAUGUUCUAUUUAGUUUUUAUUACGCACUGAAUAAUAUAAAUCGAUUACUAUCACAUAACGUAAGUGCACGUUCUGCGUAAAAUGAUAAUAUAAUGAAUAAUGACCACAGGUGGAAAUUAAUGAGGGUUAUGUGGUUCACCUAUUGGUAACCAAAGAGGCGUUUGCUGUCGUUAAGACAUAAUGAAAAAGUGUAAAGUCGGUCUGCAAUGGUUUGUAUCCGUUCGAGUCGAAAACAACUUAUUGCGUUUGAUAUUUUAUAUUAUUUGAUACAUUUUCAACGCCACACAUUUCUGUUCGUGUUCAUCUUACGGGAAAUUAUUUACUAAUUAUGUUCUGUUUAUUAUUCUAACGAGAAAACCUAUAAACGUAUUUAUUUGGCUGUAGACAUUUAUUUUACAUUAAAGACAAAAAUAUACGGAUUACUCAUAUGAUUUAAGUAAAAAUAAAUUGUUAAAAGUAUCGAGUUGUGUGAACAUAGUGUUGGCCAAGGUUAAAACAGCAGCGCACAUACUCGCCGUUUCGUAAAAAAUAUGUCAAAAAUAAUAGUACACGAGCUUUGAAUUUUGUGUCAAUGUCCUUUCGAAGCGCAGCAUAUGAAAACAAGGAGAGAAGAAUUAAAAAAAAACUUCUAGACAUACCACACAAUGGCUUUGAGAAUAAAUGUUACAGAACUAAAACAAAUUGUAUUACAAUUACAUUACUACGUAUCCUAUCAAUAUAGUGUUAAAAGUCAAUAUAACAACUUAAUUAUCAUCA
Long non-coding RNA from Daktulosphaira vitifoliae (grape phylloxera), 7767 nucleotides. RefSeq lists it as uncharacterized. Lineage: Eukaryota; Metazoa; Arthropoda; Insecta; Hemiptera; Phylloxeridae. The record is from RefSeq and is a predicted model, not a curated record. The transcript is spliced from 3 exons.